This 1492-nucleotide ribosomal RNA is filed under the name uncultured rumen bacterium. RNAcentral's name for it is "bacterial SSU rRNA". It matches the Rfam family "Bacterial small subunit ribosomal RNA". The record is from RNAcentral.
AGAGUUUGAUCCUGGCUCAGGAUGAACGCUAGCUACAGGCUUAACACAUGCAAGUCGCGGGGCAGCACUGGGAUUGCUUGCAAUCCCUGGUGGCGACCGGCGCACGGGUGAGUAACGCGUAUCCAACCUGCCCUGCAGUGGGGAACAGCCCGGCGAAAGUCGGAUUAAUGCCCCAUGGCGUCCUCGGCGGACAUCUAAUGAGGACUAAAGGCUUCUGCCGCUGCGGGAUGGGGAUGCGUAGGAUUAGGCAGGCGGCGGGGCAACGGCCCACCGCGCCGACGAUCCUUAGGGGUUCUGAGAGGAAGGUCCCCCACACUGGUACUGAGACACGGACCAGACUCCUACGGGAGGCAGCAGUGAGGAAUAUUGGUCAAUGGGCGCGAGCCUGAACCAGCCAAGUAGCGUGAGGGAAGACGGCCCUACGGGUUGUAAACCUCUUUUGUGCGGGGAUAAAGUUCACUACGCGUAGUGUUUUGCAGGUACCGCACGAAUAAGGACCGGCUAAUUCCGUGCCAUCAGCCGCGGUAAUACGGAAGGUCCGGGCGUUAUCCGGAUUUAUUGGGUUUAAAGGGAGCGCAGGCGGCCUUUUAAGCGUGACGUGAAAUGCCGGGGCUCAACCUUGGAAUUGCGUCGCGAACUGGCGGGCUUGAGUACGCUCGAGGCAGGCGGAAUUCGUGGUGUAGCGGUGAAAUGCUUAGAUAUCACGAGGAACCCCGAUUGCGAAGGCAGCCUGCCGGGGUGUUACUGUCGCUCAUGCUCGAAGGUGCGGGUAUCGAACAGGAUUAGAUACCCUGGUAGUCCGCACGGUAAACGAUGGACGCCCGCUGUUGGGCCUUUUGGUUCAGCGGCCAAGCGAAAGCGUUAAGCGUCCCACCUGGGGAGUACGCCGGCAACGGUGAAACUCAAAGGAAUUGACGGGGGCCCGCACAAGCGGAGGAACAUGUGGUUUAAUUCGAUGAUACGCGAGGAACCUUACCCGGGCUUGAACUGCGGCGGAGGGGCGCGGAGACGCGUCCGCCAGCGAUGGCCGCCGCGGAGGCGCUGCAUGGUUGUCGUCAGCUCGUGCCGUGAGGUGUCGGCUUAAGUGCCAUAACGAGCGCAACCCCUUUCCCCAGUUGCCAUCACUUCGGGUGGGCACUCUGGGGACACUGCCGCCGCAAGGUGCGAGGAAGGUGGGGAUGACGUCAAAUCAGCACGGCCCUUACGUCCGGGGCUACACACGUGUUACAAUGGCGCGUACAGAGGGCAGGCCGCCGGCGACGUCGGCCGAAUCCCGAAAACGCGUCUCAGUUCGGACUGGGGUCUGCAACCCGACCCCACGAAGCUGGAUUCGCUAGUAAUCGCGCAUCAGCCAUGGCGCGGUGAAUACGUUCCCGGGCCUUGUACACACCGCCCGUCAAGCCAUGAAAGCCGGGGGCGCCUGAAGUCCGUGACCGCGAGGGUCGGCCUAGGGUGAAACCGGUGAUUGGGGCUAAGUCGUAACAAGGUAACC